GCGAAGGUGGCGGAAUUGGUAGACGCGCUAGCUUCAGGUGUUAGUGUCCUUACGGACGUGGGGGUUCAAGUCGCCCCCCUCGCACCA
RNAcentral lists this transfer RNA (87 nucleotides) under Acinetobacter baumannii. Its description in RNAcentral is "tRNA-Leu". It matches the Rfam family "tRNA". From Rfam's summary of the family: Transfer RNA (tRNA) molecules are approximately 80 nucleotides in length. Lineage: Bacteria; Pseudomonadati; Pseudomonadota; Gammaproteobacteria; Moraxellales; Moraxellaceae. RNAcentral also lists the same sequence under 1 other name. The record is from RNAcentral.